RNAcentral lists this ribosomal RNA (314 nucleotides) under Kurthia gibsonii. RNAcentral's name for it is "bacterial SSU rRNA". It matches the Rfam family "Bacterial small subunit ribosomal RNA", at positions 1019 to 1334 of the family's 1533-position model. Lineage: Bacteria; Bacillati; Bacillota; Bacilli; Caryophanales; Caryophanaceae. The record is from RNAcentral.
UUGGGGACAUUGGUGACAGGUGGUGCAUGGUUGUCGUCAGCUCGUGUCGUGAGAUGUUGGGUUAAGUCCCGCAACGAGCGCAACCCUUAUUUUUAGUUGCCAUCAUUUAGUUGGGCACUCUAAGGAGACUGCCGGUGACAAACCGGAGGAAGGUGGGGAUGACGUCAAAUCAUCAUGCCCCUUAUGACCUGGGCUACACACGUGCUACAAUGGACGAUACAAAGAGUCGCAAACUCGCGAGGGUAAGCUAAUCUCAUAAAAUCGUUCUCAGUUCGGAUUGUAGGCUGCAACUCGCCUGCAUGAAGCCGGAAUCG